CAGUUCUUGUGGUCCAGAAGGCAGGCAGCAGGAAUGCUCUUGUAGAAGCUCUUACCUUCUGGACUGUUUCUGCCACUGGAGUCAGGAGGCUCUUAAAAGGUCCAAUGACCCACACCCAAAAGCAGCAGCCCUCAAGUGGAAGCCACGGAAACCUUGAAUAGCAUCUUUGAAAUCCAAAAUAAAUUCUGAAGACAUUCGCCAUCCCACUGACAUGGAGGCCAACAAUUACGACAGAUCACUGAUAUGCAUAAACUAUUUCAACACCAGAACAUGUGAGAUCUGUGUUUGAAGCCUUAAAUCUACAGAGAGACUGCACCUGCCAGAACUGGAAGACCCCCUUCUCCUAAAUGAUACCAGUGAGGGCCCUUUGGGGAAACCAAAUCCAGCUCUUUUGGGGCAGAGGCUGCAACUGUGAUGGAGACAUGGAGCCAUUGUCGAGACCUACAAAACUCUUCCAAAAAGUCAUAGUUGAACAGCAGCGGAGGAGGGAGAAAGGAGGAAUAAAAAGCACAUGGUAAUCUCUCGGCAGAUAGAGUGCCUGUUGACAUUCAUUUCUUUCCUCACCAAUCUUUCUGAAAGAUGCUGCUGACUCCAAACCUUCUGUUCUGGUGAACGUAUCAUGUAGUGGCAUCACUAACAUUGGGAACACUCCAGUGCUUUAGCUCAUGGUGUCACCUCCUACCAUCACACAACUUCAGUAAGUGGGAAGCACAACCAGAGAGAGGAAUCCAGACUUUAUUGUACUUCCUCCACAUCUGCAGCGCAAAAAUGGAAGCAGGAAGGAUCCCAGACCAGAGCUUUCUUGGAUCCUCCCAGCCCUACAGAAGAAGCCUGGGGGAGAGGAGAAGCAUUUGUCCAGGUACUGAGCUUUUCUCCUGACAUGCACACACUUGGAAUGCAGAACUGAGUGGAAAGAGAGACAGGGAAAGGUGCUGGAAGGAGACACACCAGCAGAUGGGAAGGAGCAUUCAUUCUGCACCCUCAUCCUUCUGUCUGCCUGCUUGAACCUCACAUCACCCCACUGCUUGCUUGUCUUCCUUCCCACUGUCACAGCUUCCCUUUCUUGGGUUGCUAGGCAGGAGCAGCACCCCACACUCACCACUGACAGCAUUGGAUGGUCAGCAGUAGGCUUGAUCGAUCCACGAAAAAUUUGAUUCUAAACUCGUUUCAAAACUAGAGGGGGGCAGUUUUUCGUUUCUGAUGGUAUUUCCGAAUUUGGCCCCCCAAAAAAUUCGAAAUUAACGAAAAUUCGUUAUUUUCUAAAUUAAUUCGUUAAUGGCGGACGCACAUGCGCAAUUCCCAAAAACAGCACAGAGGGAGAGGACUUUACAGGACUCUCCCACCCUCAUUUUUUGAGUGUUCUUCUUCCAACUUGGUACAGUGGUAGAACACAUUUAACACUGAUAGCUCACCAAAAUUUGGAACGUUUCUCUUAUCCUCUGAUUUUUGGCGAAUUUUCAUAGCUUUUAUAAUAAACCAUUUUUUAAUAAUUGCAGAAAUCUGUUCCUGGUUUGAAAGUCUUAUUUCCUGUUAAAUUGGGUUGUCUUUACUGUGAAAGUCAUUGUUCUACUUCAGAAACUUUGUUUUUGUGGCUGAAACUUUGUUAAAUUGGUGUGUGUGUGAUAUAUACUGUGUAUAUAGUCCCUGCAUAAUGUGUGUGUGUGUGUGUGUGUGUGUGUGUGUAUAGGUAAAGGUAAAGGUAUCCCUUGACAUUAAGUUCAGUCAUGUCUGACUCUGGGGGUUGGUGCUCAUCUCCAUUUCUAAGCCCAAGAGCCAGUGUUGUCCAUAGACACCUCCAAGGUCAUGUGGCUGGCAUGACUACAUGGAGUGCCAUUACCUUCCCGCCAGAGCGGUACCUAUUGAUCUACUCACAUUGGCAUGUUUUCAAGCUGCUAGGUUGGCAGAAGCUGGAGCUAACAGCGGGCACUCACUCUGCUCCCGGGAUUUGAACCUGGGACCUUUCGGUCUGCAAGUUCAGCAGCUCAGUGCUUUAACACACUUCGCCAUCGGGGCUCAUGUAUAUAUAAUAUACAUACACAUACACACAAUGUGGAGAAUAUGUGGAAAGGUAGAUAGAUAAGUUGGGAGCCACAGCGAAGGCACCUUCCUGGGAGCAAGGUCUAAUAAUAAUAAUAAUAAUAAUAAUAAUAAUAAUAAUAAUAAUAAUAAAUCCCUUACAAUAUCCAAGAUGGGUACCAUUAUUGGCAGAGAAAGCCAAGCUGUAGGAGUUGAAAUCCAAUCAUUUAUCCUCCCUAUAGAAUCAAUUUUAUAUGCAUUUUUAGCUACAGAAAAGCUAAAAUCAGGACAGUAAAAGAACAACACCCAGAAAAUGGGAAUUCCAGACAGGAAACAAUCAGGGCCAGCUAAUACCUCCCAACAAAGGAUUCCCCCAGGUAGGAAGCAGCCAGGCUUUGAAGCUGCAAGGCUAUUCAAUGCUAAUCAAGGUGACCAAUUGCAACAUUCACACUUGCCUCCCACAGACAAGAGUUCUUUCUCCCACCCUGGACCUUCCACAGAUAUACAAACCCCACUUGCCUAGCUUCGCACAGACGUCAAAACCUCACCGCCGGGCCCCUCUCUGUCUCUCUCGGUCUCUCCAUUCCCGGCUCCAUCCGCCGCCUUCCCGCCUCACAGAGAGACACCAGGCCUGAGCUGAGGCGAGGCGGCGGCGGCGGCCAUUUCCCCCCUCCGUCUUCCUCCUCCUCCUCGGCCUCCUUCCCCCUCGCCCCCUCCCAUUGGCUGAGCCCGUGACGCCCCUUUUGCUGAGGGGCAAAAGGAAAGGGCCUGAAUGGUGGGAGUUUGGGUGAUUUGCAAAAGCUGUUUUUUCCUAACGAAAAAAACGACGACAUAACGAAAAACGGCCUCUCGCGAUUCGAAACCGCGAUAUCCAGACGUGUGGACAACCAAUGCUUCAAAAUUGCUUCAAACCAAACGAAAAUAACGAAUUAAUAACGGUUAACGGGGAAAACGAAUUAUUUGAGCAAGCCUAGUCAGCAGAGCUGCCUUGGCAGCUGGAGAAGGGUGACCAAGGGGUGCUAAACUAAUGGCAAUCACCUCGCUGGAUCUUACCCAGCUGCAAUGGAGUCAUCUAGUUUGGCCCAUGCCCACUAUUACAAGAAAGGAUGGUGAGACUGGGAAUAACAAUGUAAUUAUCUGAAUAUCUUGUUGAGACAAGUGCUAUUGAAUACAGGAUUUAUUUAAGUAAAUAUGUCUCAGAUUAUGUAUUACCUUAGAUCUCCUUUUUGACCUGGUGCCCUCAAGAUGUUUUAGACCACAAUUUGUAUCACCACUGAGUGACCUCACAAAAGUUGUAGUCCAAACUAAAGUGGGGGCUAAUAAAGGUUGGAUUAGAGAGAUUCAUAGAGAGUGGGCAUAUUGAUGAUGAAUCACAGACAGUAAGCGAUAUGAGAUUCUUGGAAUCCUUUGGAAAUUCAUUCAACAUGGUUCUCUUUAUGUUUCCCAGUGAAGAGCAUAUGGUGAAAUGCAAUUUAAUCAUAUAUGGGUCUGGGACAAAUAAUAAGAUGUGAGAAAAUAAAAAGAUCUCUGCACAUCCCAAAUCACAAGAAAAACCUUGAUUUAUUAUAAGUAGAGAAGGAAUGAAUAUGACAAAUGAGCUAACCAGUUGUGUGGAUCUAUUGGCACCACCUUACAAAAUUUUUUGAAAGAUUAACUUCAAAACAUUGAUCGCCUUACGCUCCAAGGAAAAUGCAGACAACUUCUGUAUGUAUAUGUAUUUCUAUUCUUCUACUUCUCUUUUCUUUCAGUAUUGAAGCACCAGAAAAAUCUGAAAAUACUAACAACAAUAAAGCAAAAAUAUACACAGGCAGUCCCAAAGUUAUGAACAAGAUAGGUCUGGUAGGUUUGUUUUUAAGAUGAAUUCGUAUGUAAGUCAGAACAAGUGCAUUUUUAAAUAAACAAACCUACCAGACCUAUCUUUCCAAAUAUAUAUUUAUAUAUAUACACACACACACACACACAC
Molecule: long non-coding RNA, 3979 nt
Organism: Anolis carolinensis (green anole)
Lineage: Eukaryota; Metazoa; Chordata; Lepidosauria; Squamata; Anolidae
Exons: 6
Source: RefSeq, a predicted model, not a curated record